GCACAAGCAGCGGAGCAUGUGGCUUAAUUCGACGCAACGCGAAGAACCUUACCAAGGCUUGAAAUGCAAGUGAAGCGGUGGAAACGCCGUGGCCGAAAGGAGCUUGCACAGGUGGUGCAUGGCUGUCGUCAGCUCGUGUCGUGAGAUGUUGGGUUAAGUCCCGCAACGAGCGCAACCCUUGUCAUUAGUUGCCAUCAUUUGGUUGGGCACUCUAAUGAGACUGCCGGUGACAAACCGGAGGAAGGUGGGGAUGACGUCAAGUCCUCAUGGCCCUUAUGGGUAGGGCUUCACACGUCAUACAAUGGUCGGUACAGAGGGUUGCCAACCCGCGAGGGGGAGCUAAUCCCACAAAGCCGAUCGUAGUCCGGAUCGCAGUCUGCAACUCGACUGCGUGAAGUCGGAAUCGCUAGUAAUCGUGGAUCAGCAUGUCACGGUGAAUACGUUCCCGGGUCUU
Molecule: ribosomal RNA, 454 nt
Filed under: uncultured Rhodocyclaceae bacterium
Lineage: Bacteria; Pseudomonadati; Pseudomonadota; Betaproteobacteria; Rhodocyclales; Rhodocyclaceae
Description: bacterial SSU rRNA
Rfam family: Bacterial small subunit ribosomal RNA
Source: RNAcentral